GAAAGUUGCUCAGUGGGAGAGUAUCUGCAUAGCAUGCAGAAAGUAUCUGGUUCAAUCCCUGGCAUCUUCA
This 70-nucleotide transfer RNA is filed under the name Sphaerodactylus townsendi. Its description in RNAcentral is "tRNA-Ala". The record is from RNAcentral. Lineage: Eukaryota; Metazoa; Chordata; Lepidosauria; Squamata; Sphaerodactylidae.